AGCAGCAUGGCUCAGUGGAAAGAGCCCGGAUUUGGAAGUCAGAGGUCAUGGGUUCGAAUCCCAGCUCUGCCA
Non-coding RNA from Ornithorhynchus anatinus (platypus), 72 nucleotides. Lineage: Eukaryota; Metazoa; Chordata; Mammalia; Monotremata; Ornithorhynchidae. The record is from Rfam.